This 305-nucleotide ribosomal RNA is filed under the name uncultured bacterium. Its description in RNAcentral is "bacterial SSU rRNA". It matches the Rfam family "Bacterial small subunit ribosomal RNA", at positions 335 to 657 of the family's 1533-position model. The record is from RNAcentral.
GGCCUACGGGAGGCAGCAGUGGGGGAUAUUGCACAAUGGGGGGAACCCUGAUGCAGCGACGCCGCGUGGGUGAAGAAGCGCCUCGGCGCGUAAAGCCCUAUCGGCAGGGAAGAAGCAAGACGGUACCUGACUAAGAAGCCCCGGCUAACUACGUGCCAGCAGCCGCGGUAAUACGUAGGUGGCAAGCGUUGUCCGGAUUUACUGGGUGUAAAGGGCGUGCAGCCGGGCUGACAAGUCAGAUGUGAAAUCCCGCGGCUCAACCGCGGAACUGCAUUUGAAACUGUCAGUCUUGAGUACCGGAGAGG